This is a microRNA precursor of Bison bison bison, 86 nucleotides long. Ensembl annotates it as microRNA 200a. Its record names the gene MIR200A. Lineage: Eukaryota; Metazoa; Chordata; Mammalia; Artiodactyla; Bovidae. The record is from Ensembl.
GGGCCUCUGUGGACAUCUUACCGGACAGUGCUGGAUUUCUCGGCUCGACUCUAACACUGUCUGGUAACGAUGUUCAAAGGUGACCC